GUGACAAACGUCAUAGCUCAUUCCGGAAACAUCCUUUAGUGCAGCAAUACCGAAACUACCUUUAACUUCGCCGAAGUGUCUUAACUAAUUGUACGGUGUUCUGCUGUGCUGAUCCACAUACCAUUCGGCUCCCUACACAUCGUCAUCGAUUCAUGAUUAUCGCUCAGCGAUCGCUAUCCCCUCUUCAUUGUCAUAUCAUCAUCGUUCGUUACUAUCGUCGUUCCGUUGGGUUAUACUCUGUGUGUGUGCGCGGAAAUACCAUACUCCUACCGUAUCCUGGUGUACAAUACAUGUAACUUCACCUCUCAUCUUUCUCAAUCAUCGCUCUCUUCGAUCAACGUUUACAAAUGAUCGAUCAUCUUCUUCUUCACACAAUCAUUCCGCCUACGCAUACGAUACGUUGCGCGCGAGGCUUCCGGAUCGCCUAUCA
This is a long non-coding RNA of Anopheles arabiensis, 430 nucleotides long. RefSeq lists it as uncharacterized. Lineage: Eukaryota; Metazoa; Arthropoda; Insecta; Diptera; Culicidae. The transcript is spliced from 3 exons. The record is from RefSeq and is a predicted model, not a curated record.